GGAGUUGUAGCUCAGUUGGUAGAGUGUUUGCUUUACAUGUAUGAGGCACUAGAUUCGAUCCUCAGCUCCA
This 70-nucleotide transfer RNA is filed under the name Ictidomys tridecemlineatus (thirteen-lined ground squirrel). Its description in RNAcentral is "Spermophilus tridecemlineatus (thirteen-lined ground squirrel) tRNA". It matches the Rfam family "tRNA". From Rfam's summary of the family: Transfer RNA (tRNA) molecules are approximately 80 nucleotides in length. Their secondary structure includes four short double-helical elements and three loops (D, anti-codon, and T loops). Further hydrogen bonds mediate the characteristic L-shaped molecular structure. tRNAs have two regions of fundamental functional importance: the anti-codon, which is responsible for specific mRNA codon recognition, and the 3' end, to which the tRNAs corresponding amino acid is attached (by aminoacyl-tRNA synthetases). tRNAs cope with the degeneracy of the genetic code in two manners: having more than one tRNA (with a specific anti-codon) for a particular amino acid; and 'wobble' base-pairing, i.e. permitting non-standard base-pairing at the 3rd anti-codon position. Lineage: Eukaryota; Metazoa; Chordata; Mammalia; Rodentia; Sciuridae. The record is from Rfam by way of RNAcentral.